Molecule: ribosomal RNA, 526 nt
Filed under: Pseudoalteromonas distincta
Lineage: Bacteria; Pseudomonadati; Pseudomonadota; Gammaproteobacteria; Alteromonadales; Pseudoalteromonadaceae
Description: bacterial SSU rRNA
Rfam family: Bacterial small subunit ribosomal RNA
Source: RNAcentral
UAAUUGAAGAGUUUGAUCAUGGCUCAGAUUGAACGCUGGCGGCAGGCCUAACACAUGCAAGUCGAGCGGAAACGAAGAGGUGCUUGCACCUCUGGCGUCGAGCGGCGGACGGGUGAGUAAUGCUUGGGAAUAUGCCUUAUGGUGGGGGACAACAGUUGGAAACGACUGCUAAUACCGCAUGAUGUCUACGGACCAAAGUGGGGGACCUUCGGGCCUCACGCCAUAAGAUUAGCCCAAGUGGGAUUAGCUAGUUGGUGAGGUAAUGGCUCACCAAGGCGACGAUCCCUAGCUGGUUUGAGAGGAUGAUCAGCCACACUGGGACUGAGACACGGCCCAGACUCCUACGGGAGGCAGCAGUGGGGAAUAUUGCACAAUGGGCGCAAGCCUGAUGCAGCCAUGCCGCGUGUGUGAAGAAGGCCUUCGGGUUGUAAAGCACUUUCAGUAAGGAGGAAAGGUUAAGUGUUAAUAGCACUUAGCUGUGACGUUACUUACAGAAGAAGCACCGGCUAACUCCGUGCCAGCAGCC